Molecule: small nuclear RNA, 156 nt
Organism: Eublepharis macularius
Lineage: Eukaryota; Metazoa; Chordata; Lepidosauria; Squamata; Eublepharidae
Product: U1 spliceosomal RNA
Exons: 1
Source: RefSeq, a predicted model, not a curated record
AUAUUUACCUGGCAGAGGAGACAUCACACUCAUGAAGGUGGUUUUCCCAGGAUGAGGCACAUCCAUUGCACUCCAGGUGUGCUGACUCCUGCAAUUUUGCCAAAUGUGGGAAACUUGACUACAAUAUUUGUGGUAGUGGGAGUCUGUACGUCCCAU